GGGGUUGACUGGAUUUGACGGCGGCUAAAAUGGUAUGUAAGCACGCGGAGCCUCGGUGGCUAUCUCCUAAAUCGGAGUCAUCAAACAAUUAAUUGGCGAAAACAAUUACGCUCUCGCUGCCUAAUCGAAGCAUAGUAGAUUACUGGCUUUAUCCCGUCACAAGGUGAUGGGACGAGACAUCGCUCAAGCGUUCGUUUUCCGAAACAGCUUGGCUUAGCGGUGCAGGAUUAUCGGAAAUAGCCUCCUGGUAGCCCCGGGCGGGGAGGCGAAACUUUACGGGGAUAAGGCGGCGGUUGGUGGUCCAGGUCUUGCCGACGCUCGAAAACCCAAGGCUGGAAUAAGCGUGUAGAAAGCAUAUGGUUUUACUGUGCGGACGAGGGUUCGAAUCCCUCCAGCUCCACC
RNAcentral lists this transfer-messenger RNA (402 nucleotides) under uncultured Prevotella sp. It matches the Rfam family "transfer-messenger RNA". Rfam says of the family: Bacterial tmRNA, also known as 10Sa RNA or SsrA, is named for its dual tRNA and mRNA-like properties. The record is from RNAcentral. Lineage: Bacteria; Pseudomonadati; Bacteroidota; Bacteroidia; Bacteroidales; Prevotellaceae.